CUUAACCUGAGAUGCACGACAACUCCUGUUAGUUUUGAACCUACAUUUACUUUAAACGGGAUUCCUAUAUUGCCAAGUGGCUGUCAAGCCCUCACUCAUUUGAGGAUUGGAAGGGAAGGCAAAAGCUUUGGUUGCGGAUUUACCCACCUGGCGAGAGCUAGGAGUCAAAAGGCAGGAACCGGCAUCUUGGGGGAAUA
This 197-nucleotide non-coding RNA is filed under the name Lachnospiraceae bacterium. RNAcentral describes it as "6S RNA". It matches the Rfam family "6S / SsrS RNA". From Rfam's summary of the family: E. coli 6S RNA was the first non coding RNA to be sequenced, but its function was unknown until recently. It consists of 184 nucleotides that fold into an extended hairpin structure with a large single-stranded internal bulge. The record is from RNAcentral. Lineage: Bacteria; Bacillati; Bacillota; Clostridia; Lachnospirales; Lachnospiraceae.